UACGUAGGGUGCGAGCGUUAAUCGGAAUUACUGGGCGUAAAGGGUGCGCAGGCGGUUAUAUAAGACAGAUGUGAAAUCCCCGGGCUCAACCUGGGAACUGCGUUUGUGACUGUAUGACUAGAGUACGGUAGAGAGGGGUGGAAUUCCGUGGUGUAGCAGUGAAAUGCGUGAGAUAUCAGGAGGAACAUCGAGUGGCGAAGGCAGCCC
RNAcentral lists this ribosomal RNA (207 nucleotides) under uncultured bacterium. RNAcentral's name for it is "partial 16S ribosomal RNA". It matches the Rfam family "Bacterial small subunit ribosomal RNA", at positions 524 to 727 of the family's 1533-position model. The record is from RNAcentral.